Molecule: small nuclear RNA, 99 nt
Filed under: Octodon degus (degu)
Lineage: Eukaryota; Metazoa; Chordata; Mammalia; Rodentia; Octodontidae
Description: U4 spliceosomal RNA (ENSODEG00000025720.1)
Rfam family: U4 spliceosomal RNA (bases 1-61)
About the family: U4 small nuclear RNA (U4 snRNA) is a component of the major U2-dependent spliceosome. The structure of U4 snRNA from yeast and human has been reported.
Source: RNAcentral
AGCUUUGCACAGUGGCAGUAUCAUAGCCAAUGAGGUUUAUCCGAGGCGCGAUUAUUGCUAUAAGUGACUGUCUAAAUAUUUUUACCCUCUGUAACACAC